GCCCCCACCGCUCGGCAGUGCGGGGAUUCCCAGCCCCGGUCAGCCCCGGUACCAGCCCCGCUCCGAGCUCCCGGACGCCACUCUAGGCCCGGUGCGCCGCGCACACGCACGCGCGCCUGUGUCCACCUCCUGCGGGAGUCCUCGGCGCCGGAGAUUUCCAAGCAAACCCAGGGGAGGGUCUCCUGCGUGGGCUUUGAGCCGGGCGCGGAGCAGCAGAGCAAGGAAAGGCUGGGACCAACUCUUGAGUCCAUGGCAUGUUGUUUGCAAGCAAAAAGCCAUCUGCCUCUUAAUUUUCGGACUUUAUUGCAGAAUUUUUUUCUCAAGGACUUCAGAAAUUAUUGUCGGCUUGUCAACUGACAGUAAACCACCACGCCCCCCCCCCCACGCACACCCGAGAUCGGCCUUCCAAGGUUUACAGCUCUUCUCUGUUUAGUUCCUAUCACCAUUCUAGGUCGGCCCAGCAAGUACUACUUUCCCAGGUUAACAGAUGCGGAAACAGCUCAGAGAGAUGAGUUGACACCUCACCCCUAGAGCUAGUGGCAGAAUCAGAAACCUGAAUCUUUCACUGAAUCCCUUCUGCGCUCCCAUCGCCCACAGGAUGAAACACAAACUAAUCGCGUUGGCGUUGGAGGCCCUCGAAGUGACUAACCUGUAUUCCGACUGUUUUUAGCCCACGCUACUCUGACCCAGACAGCAUCUUUUCCGUCCCAUCUCUUCUUUCCUCAAGUACCCCCUUACAAUUUCCUGUACUAUUUUUUCCCUCACUCAGCGUCUACUUGGUUUCUCGGUACAUUAUGGAUCCCACCCCCUUCCUGCCUUUUCCAGACCACAUUUCCACUCCAGCAGUUGAAUUGAGAGAGAUGGGAGCCGCACCCGCCAGGCCUGGAGCUUGCAAUGAUGAAGUGAUAGGUGCCAACAUUUCUCAGGAACUCUGGAAUCUUGUGAGGAGGGUAGACUGCUAAGUGGAUCAUUAUAAUACUUAGUGACUUGCCCUGUAGCAUGGCUGUGUAUGAGGUGCCUCGGCAGCAGAGAGAAGUCACUGGUGUGCCUGAGGAAUGAGGGAAGACUUCAGAGAGGAAGCAUGUUACAAAAUGUGAAAACCAUUCUCGGCUCCUGAGCUGAACAAAAACAGAAGACAGGCCAAAUUUGGCCCGUAGGCCAAAGGUUUGGAACCCUUACUUUGGACCUUGCCCUUGUUCUCCCCUCCUCUCUUCUCUUCCUCCUCCCCUCCUCCUCUCCCUCCUCCUUCCCUCCUCUUUUCUCCCCCUCCUCCCUCCCUCCUUCCUCCUCCCACCUCCUCCUUCCCUCCCCUCCCCCUCCUCACUUCCUACCCCUGCCCACUACUCCUCCUUUCCUCCUCCCCUCCCCUCCCUCUUUUCUCCUCCCUUCCCUCCCUUCCCCAUUCUUCCCUCCCUCCCCUCCCCCUCCUCCUUUCGGCCCCUGCCCACUACUCCUCCUUCCCUCCUCCCUGCCCCUCUCCCCUCCCUUCUCCCCUCCCCUCUUUCCUCCUCCCUGCCCUCCCGUCCCCAUUCUCCCCGCCCCCGCCCCGCGUCCCUAACCGGGGCCCAGACGCGGCGGGCCGGCGCGGUCAGGGGG
Mirounga angustirostris (Northern elephant seal) is the source of this 1596-nucleotide long non-coding RNA. RefSeq lists it as uncharacterized. The record is from RefSeq and is a predicted model, not a curated record. The transcript is spliced from 3 exons. Lineage: Eukaryota; Metazoa; Chordata; Mammalia; Carnivora; Phocidae.